UCGGGGAUCGUCUAACGGUAGGACGUCAGGUUCUGGCCCUGAAAGUUGGGGUUCGAAUCCCUGUCCCCGAG
This 71-nucleotide transfer RNA is filed under the name Nitrospina sp. RNAcentral's name for it is "tRNA-Gln". It matches the Rfam family "tRNA". From Rfam's summary of the family: Transfer RNA (tRNA) molecules are approximately 80 nucleotides in length. Their secondary structure includes four short double-helical elements and three loops (D, anti-codon, and T loops). Further hydrogen bonds mediate the characteristic L-shaped molecular structure. tRNAs have two regions of fundamental functional importance: the anti-codon, which is responsible for specific mRNA codon recognition, and the 3' end, to which the tRNAs corresponding amino acid is attached (by aminoacyl-tRNA synthetases). tRNAs cope with the degeneracy of the genetic code in two manners: having more than one tRNA (with a specific anti-codon) for a particular amino acid; and 'wobble' base-pairing, i.e. permitting non-standard base-pairing at the 3rd anti-codon position. The record is from RNAcentral. Lineage: Bacteria; Pseudomonadati; Nitrospinota; Nitrospinia; Nitrospinales; Nitrospinaceae.